GAAUGCCCAGUGAUCCUUGUGGGGUGUUGCUGACACAGAGCUUGCUCUCUAGAGAGAGAAAGCUAGUGAGAGAGAGAGAUAGAUAGAGAGAGGUAGAAGACUAGAAGUAGUGUAGUCCAGUGUGAAUUGUUGGGUGUCCAAUGGGUGGAGGGGUUGCACACUUGCUCCUCAUCCACACUAGCUACCCCAGCUCAGCUCAGCUCAGCUCAUUCCUCUCUCUCUCAUCAACCCUAGCUAGAAGAACUAGAUAGAAGCUUUCUUGAGCCAGCCAAUUAACUCGAUCUCUCUCCUCUCGCUCUCUCUCUCUCUCU
This 311-nucleotide long non-coding RNA is filed under the name Oryza brachyantha (malo sina). RNAcentral's name for it is "long non-coding RNA (OBRA_LNC000044)". The record is from RNAcentral. Lineage: Eukaryota; Viridiplantae; Streptophyta; Magnoliopsida; Poales; Poaceae.